GACCUUGAUAGGCUACAGGUGUAAAUGCAGUAAUGUAAAAGCCGAGUAGUACUAAUAGCCCGAACGCUUUAUAUCGU
Molecule: ribosomal RNA, 77 nt
Filed under: Porphyromonas cangingivalis
Lineage: Bacteria; Pseudomonadati; Bacteroidota; Bacteroidia; Bacteroidales; Porphyromonadaceae
Description: partial 23S ribosomal RNA
Source: RNAcentral